AUACGGAGGGUGCAAGCGUUAAUCGGAAUUACUGGGCGUAAAGCGUACGUAGGCGGUUUAUUAAGUCAGAUGUGAAAGCCCCGGGCUUAACCAGGGAACUGCAUUUGAAACUAGUAGACCAGAGUAUGGUAGAGGGGGGUAGAAUUCCUAGUGUAGCGGUGAAAUGCGUAGAUAUUAGGAGGAAUACCAGUGGCGAAGGCGGCCCCCUGGACCAAUACUGACGCUGAGGUACGAAAGCGUGGGGAGCGAACAGGAUUAGAAACCCAGUAGUCC
RNAcentral lists this ribosomal RNA (273 nucleotides) under uncultured bacterium. RNAcentral describes it as "partial 16S ribosomal RNA". It matches the Rfam family "Bacterial small subunit ribosomal RNA", at positions 523 to 796 of the family's 1533-position model. The record is from RNAcentral.